UUUCCGUAGGUGAACCUGCGGAAGGAUCAUUGUCGAAACCUGCAAAGCAGAACGACCCGCGAACGCGUGAACCCCCGGCGCGGAAAGCGCCAAGGAAUACUACAACGAGACAGCCAGCUCCCUCCGCCCCGUUCGCGGCCAGCGCGGGGAGCCCCGGCGUCUUAUCUUAACAAAAACGACUCUCGGCAACGGAUAUCUCGGCUCUCGCAUCGAUGAAGAACGUAGCGAAAUGCGAUACUUGGUGUGAAUUGCAGAAUCCCGUGAACCAUCGAGUCUUUGAACGCAAGUUGCGCCCGAAGCCGUCAGGCCGAGGGCACGUCUGCCUGGGCGUCACGCAUCGCGUCGCCCCAUCCCCCCCGCGGGAUGGGUGCGGAUGUUGGCCCCCCGUGCCCCUAACUAGGGACGCGGCCGGCCCAAAUGCGAGUCCUUGGCGACGGACGUCACGGCGAGUGGUGGAAUAAUACUCUCAUUUCGCGUCUGACCCGUCGGCAUCGGACGGCCGACCCUUUCGAGCGAAUGCUCUCCGACCGCGACCCCAGGUCAGGCGGGAUUACCCGCUGAAUUUAA
Molecule: ribosomal RNA, 567 nt
Filed under: Dichondra carolinensis
Lineage: Eukaryota; Viridiplantae; Streptophyta; Magnoliopsida; Solanales; Convolvulaceae
Description: eukaryotic LSU rRNA
Rfam family: 5.8S ribosomal RNA (bases 178-333)
Source: RNAcentral